This 1022-nucleotide long non-coding RNA is filed under the name Monodelphis domestica (gray short-tailed opossum). RNAcentral's name for it is "lncRNA (ENSMODG00000050471.1)". Lineage: Eukaryota; Metazoa; Chordata; Mammalia; Didelphimorphia; Didelphidae. The record is from RNAcentral.
AAGAUCAGGCAGGUAGAGAUAAUUCUCCAAAUUUUAUAGAUGAAGAAAUAGAGGCCUAAAUGGAUUCAGUAACUUGCUUAAGGUCACACAGGACUAGAAAUUGGCUCUCCAGAUGCCAGUUUUCCAUUCCUACUCACCUCACACAAACCCCUUUAGCCAGCAGAAGUAGGGGCCAGACCCAAAUCUAAGGGUAUGACCUGAGAGCAUUCCUAGAAUCUCAGAGCUGGCAGGAAGCUUGGACAGCAUCUUGCCAAACCUCUUUUCUGCUUCAAGAUUCCCUUCUCCAUUCCCCCAACAGUAAUCACGCCCCCUCCCCACCACUCCUCAUCCCACCCUGAGCUGGGCGGCAACCCCCAUGCUGGGUGCUGAGAGCCGGGUGAACCAGCCCACAUCCAUUCCAGGUGGUGAUUACAAUGACUUUUUCCAGCCCCAUCUGCAUUGUCAAUCCUCUCGGUUCUGACGUCAAUAAUUGAUGGAGGAACUCGGUGGGAGAGCCGAGCAUCAGGUUGGCAGGGAGCAGCGUCAAAUCUGGGUAUAAAAUGAGCGACCUACCUCGUAAUCAGGCACUGCAGGGAGAGAGCCUAGAUAGUCCUGUUUCGAGUGCCUAAUAAUCAAGGAAUUAACAGGCCAGUACACCCUGGGGUUUAGGGCUUCAAGGGAUGGGUUGGAGGGGAGUUUUUUUUAACCCCUUUACCUACUCCUUAAAUACCCAUUUGGAUCUGGCACCAGUCCUUGGGAAUGUGCUGCUCAGAGACUGGGCAUGAGAAGCCUGACUGGAAGGCAGGGGGAAGGAGAGGAGCGUGAUAACAGUAUCUGUGAGAGACUCAACGGAGAUAAUGAAUGUGAUAUGAUUGCUUCCUCUCCAGCACCAACCUUCAUAAAGACUCCCUUCUUCCAGAGAAGACUCCCCGAGGAACCCUACAAAGAGCGCUGAUCCAGUCAUGGCAGCAUCUCCUUCUCCCGCAUAGACGCAGUCAACUCAAUUCAAUUCAAUAUUCAUUUACUGAGCACUUAUAAAGGCC